AAGUGUAUUUUUCUAGGGGUUUUUUUUAGUAUCAUUUAACUUGAUUCUAUCAAGUACAGAAUUAGGAUGAGUUUAUAUAAAGUACUAAUUCUACUUUGUCAUGACAUUUCUGAAGUAAGAUUUAUGAAGAGAGGCAGUAUCUUUUAUUUAACUGAAUCACAUACACUAGGCAUCUAUGUGACCUAGGAAGGAUCUAAUAAAUAUAUAUGUUUAUUUAAAUUCUCUUUCAGAAUUUCAACCGAAAUCCAGACAAAUAUCAUGAAAUGGAAUAACCGCUGACCUUUUAGUUCUCACUGCAACAGCAACACAAGGAGCACAGCAGAGAUGUUCUUGCUGCAUUUGCUGGGAAUUGCUGUUGGAUCGUCUCCUGGAGGAUGAAGCACACACAUACUGCUGCAUGAGCUGUUCCAUGCAGACACUUUGAAUCUGACUUCAAGAAGAAGACAACAUGAAUGGAAAAGCUUUCAUGAUGUGCAAAACCCCAUCAGCAGUCUUCCUGCCACUCAGCUCUGAAGAGAGCGAGAUAUGAAGUGACGUGCCCAAGGUCACACAAAAAGGCACAGCUGGGAGCAGAGAACAACUCCAUUAUCUCCUGGUCCACCCUUUCACCAUAAAAUGAUUGUUCUUACAUUGAAGUAGGAGACACAGGAACCGCAAGGUUGCACCGACCCUGUCUGAUGGGAUAUAAAAUGGAGAUCUCUUCUGAACAAGGUAGCUGGAGGCUGAAUCAGACAGAAUAUGAGUUUCCACAUUUUGGUGAAGAAAUGAGUGAACAGGUAAAAAUAAGUCAUGAUCCAUGAGUAAAUUUUUUCAUUUUAGCAACAUGAAUGAAGCUGUAAAGUCUAUGUGUAGUUCCAUGCAUGUCUGUUGAGCCUUCUCCCAGUGCACCCAUGAGCUUUCUGGGGUGAGAGCAAAUUAAAAAGACAUGUCAGUAAUUCGAGGCUAAGUCUUAGGAAUCAUCCUUCUCACACAAUCUCUGCAUUGGAGAGAGCAUUAUAGAUAGCAAAGCAACAAACUACACUUGUGGCUAAAAGUAGUCUCCUAGUGGGUCUGGGAUGAGCAGAAGGACCCAUCACUGGCUUGAUCUUGCAUGCUGGCUUUCACUAUGACUUCUAUAUUCUGAAAACCACUUGGUUCUGCCUUUAAAAAAAAGGCUUUCAAAGCCUCUUUAAUAGUAGUUACAAUGGAGGGUUUAAGGUUAAGCAUGUAUUGAGUAAAAAAAGCAUGGCUGGAGUCAGUUCCCUGUUUGAAUGACUACCUUAGAAUGCUAGAUUCACGUUUUCGAGUCUCCAAAUAAUAGAUGAUAGAGUCCUCUUGCUUGCUUGAUUUCUUUUUUUUAAUUUUCCUCUUCUAUCAGUAACUAUAAUAUUAUUGUUCACAGUAUGAACAUCAGUGAGAAAUAAACUACAGUCAUGCACAAUUUAAUCCAAUGCUAAAAGGUCAGGCAUGAUACGCACAAAGGAAAUUUUGUCAAUUAGAAAAUGAGGUAUUUGUCAGAUGUACUAUUUUGCAAUACACCAGCCACUUUGUUAGUAAAAGAAAUUGCUUGUGACUGGAGGCAUGAUGUCAAACUGCAUGGAUCAGUGAUCUAAUCCUGAAUGAUAAAAUAUUUGUUUGCAAACAGAAAUGUGCAGAUAACAAAUGCUGCAUUUUUUGUAAUGUUUGUACAUGCCUCUCUCUGCAUUUCAAGCUUUUCAGUUUAAGAACACAUAGCUCACCAAACGGAACAUAUCCCUAAGAGGAGGAAAGGGAGGGAUGCUGCUACACAUGUAACUCUGAAGUCUAAUGUUAUGUUAGCCUGUCCUGCUUGGCGUAGAGGUUGGACUAGAUGACCAAACCUAUCAUCUGUAAUUCUAGGGAAGAGAUUUUGACAACACACUUAACCACAGUAGUAAAGCUCAAGGAAUCUCCAAAGUCAUUAGAACCGUAAGUCAUUAAGGCAUCACACACCAGCAGGUGUUGGCCUGCACUCCCUGUCACCCUCCAUAAAGAACUUCCCCUGCAGUGGCAAGGUUUGGCAGCACCUGCCUGUUUGCAAAGUUGCUUUGUACUUAAAAAGUCAAAUGUCGUAUGGUUGAUUGUCAUUUAACUAAUUGGGGUUUAGCUGAGUCCCUCUAUGAAAUUCAACUUUACUUUCAAGUUCUGCUCAUAACCAAAAGCCAGGAGACUUUUUAGUGGUUCUGGUGAAACCAGCAGCAAAAUUUCUACUGACAGUAAUAGGACAAGAACUUGGCCCCUAUCCUUUUGGAUGAUGCCCAGCCCCACUUUAUUUGACUUUCAAUGUCAUUUGCCUUCCUGGCUUAAGCAUGCAUUAUAUUUUAAGUCAUUGACCAAUAGGACUGGGAUGCUGAAGUAACCAAUGAGUCAGCAUGCUAUGGAACAUUUGUACUCAGCAAUUUUAUUGAAAAGAGAUAUUAAAAAAUGACACUAAAUGAACAUUAAUGUUCCUUGGAGGCACUUGGAAGUAAGGAAAUGCCAAGCUUAAAGCUGUUAUGUGAAGUUAGCCCUGUGUCCAAACUUUGGUACAGCAUUCAACUAAACCAUAGCCUAGAAUUUGUAUACUAUCUUUUCCACAGGACCUCUGACUGACUCAUCCCAAGGGAAACUAGCAAAGCAAUAUGGAAAAUGUUACCCUGUAUAACUACAGAAAAGCUGAAAGACAAAAAGAGGAUUUUUGUUCUGGCCAGUGCUGGGCAGGAAAUGAUCAUCAAAGACCCAAGGCCCCAUCCUGCCCUCUUUACACCACACCUGAGUACGCAAGUAGGACAAACAAAUGACAAAACUUAUGAGUACCCACCCCUCUCCCCCAAAAAAUGUUUCUUUUCCAUACUGACACUUAGAUGGAGCAAUUCCAUACCAUAAAAAGGUCCAUUUAGUUUUGAGCCACGGAAACAAUGUGUUAAACCCCAUCCCCACGCCAGUCCCUUGGUUUUUCAGGAGGUCUGAGGUUUAGGGAAGACAGUGUGUUGUGCUAUAUGAUGUUUCCUACCAAGCUGUGGAGUGUUAUGGGCCCUUACAUCCCAGAAUACCCAUGGAAGCAGAGCAGAGUUCAGGAGACCCAGAGACUUGUGUUUCCCAAGUUACAGUUCUUAGCAUUAAUUUACAUCAAUGCAUGGAACAAAUUUAAAAUUAAGUGCUCAGAAAACAAAAACAGAAUUGCUCACAGUCAGGUAUGUCAGUGUAUUUAAAUUUGAAAAUGUCUACAGAAAAGCACCUGUUCCAAGAAAAUCUUCACUUUUAUAUGAAACAGAAUGAAACAAAAGCCCUUUCCUUAGAAUGGGAAUUCCAGAUUUCAUUCAGAUCAGUAACCAUCAUUCCUCAUCCAGCUGCAAGCCACACACAGGUCACCAAGUAAUUGUAUUACCAUAUUAGCACUGUGUUUGGAACAAGGAUAUCUGCCUUUUAAAGAAAAUCUGCUGCCAAAUAGGUAAAUAUUGAAAUGGUAACAAGAACAUUUUAAUUUAAGAGAAUUUACACUAUUCUUCACACACAUGACCCUUGAGGAAAGAGAAAAUACAGUUGAGCUAUACUUGAACUAAACAGUAAAACCUUAGAAAAAGAAAAGGAAGUGGAGAAGAUAAAUUGAGAUAUAUAAACAUCUGUCUGUUCAUGGCUGGAGAUUAUUAUAUGCUGCAGACUAUAUAUACUUUUUUUUUUUUAUAGGGAAACAAAGAAAAAGAUUAUAAAAUUAAUGUGGCAAACUGACAGAUUUCCUAGUAAAGUAAACCAAAAUUUAUUUCAGUCAACUCAUAAUUUACAAAUGCUACUGUCCAUUUAUGUUUGUCUUUUCCUCUAUGUUUUACAAUGUAUUUUGAAAACAUUACUAAGGCCUCUCUGAAUCAUGUUGAGGUUCUGACAUCUAAGAAAUUUUUAAACACAGAGAAAUUUCACUGACAAAUGUUCAAAUUGAUUCACCAAGCUGGGAAUCCUGUGUCCUGUCAAAAUAGGAUGUUUCUUUAAAACAACAGUACUUUGUUAGAAUAAAAAGAUAAUUUUCUUUUUCUAAAAACAUCCAAGUGACAGACAUUAAGAGCAAUGUAUAGCUAAUCAGUGAGAGCAAAUAGACUGGACACCCUUAAGGUUAAAGACGUUUUAGUUUCUUCUUCCAGCAACAGCAUGCCAGUUGUGAAAAUAAAGGUGCUGUUUGAGACAUUUUAAGAGGAGGCUUUGUAAUGGCUGUUUGCAGGGUGGUAAAUCUUUCCUGCAAAAUGAACAUGCGGAGGAAUUCCACGGAUUUUUGGGGUUUUAUCUCUUUGCUGCCUGCCUCUACCUGUCAGCCUCUUACCUAGCUGCUAGGGCUGAAGGUUCAUCAUGCAUGUCUUUUUAUUUAUUUAUUUAUUUUCAUUCAGGCUAAUAAUGAGAAAACUCUCCCUCUCCAAACAACCCAGAAAUAUACAUCUUGUUAUGCACCACUGUGCUUCUAUUAAGACUUAUGCUUGCUUAAACAACAGAUCAUUGAAUUUGCCAUUGUUUUCAUAGUUCAAAAAAAUCAAACAGGCAAAUGCAAUGACUCCACGUGGCAUCUUGGGAAAUGGGCACCAGCAGUCACUCCAAGCUGGCUACAUGAGCAAUAAAGGCACAGUUUGUAUUGGUCCUGCAUCAUCUCUGGAGCUGCACACGUGCUCAGUACAGAUUGCAGCCAAUUGAGUGCAUCUGUGCACCUUUCUCCUGGUACCCCAGCCAGCCUGCUGUACCAGGAGCUGAAAGCUGAUGGCAUGCCUUGAGAAGCCACCCCUCACACUGGAAGGUUUUUACUAUAUCCUAGCACCAAUGGAGAAAUCCAGUUCAAAUUACUGAAAACAAAUUUAUUUCUGCUCUGUUGCUUGAAUGCUCAAAUGCUUGUCUGAGCCCAUGCUAAAUGACAACAACAAAAAACCCCAAAUUUUUCCACAUUAGGUCCAAAAGCCACUGUGCAAUUGAGGUUCUCAUAGCUGACAAAUGCCUAAACCAAUCAUAGCACCUACUGCUAUGACAAAGAUAAUUACUGCCUUUCCGUCGGUGAAGUGUGUACCCUGCUCUGUAUCAUAUUUAAAAUAAUCUAAUUCCAGCUCAUUUUCCUCCUCCAAAUUGUUUCCAGCUGUACAAUUCCUUUUUUCCCCCAUAUUGUUUUUAUUGGAUAUAGUGCAAGUUCGUAAAGAUAGAUUUUCCCAUAAUAAAUACACAGAUGUUAGAAUAAUAAACAUACAGUCAACCUGAUAUAUGAAUAUUACUAAGCCUUAACAAACAUAUAACAAACAACAUAAAUUGAUUUUAAAAAAUUGAAAAUGAGAACAUAAAGUAGCAGAGAAAGAAAUGGCAGGAGAAAAUAAAGGCAAAAAAGUGAGCUAGAAAUGAACUUACUUUAGCAAACUGUCUGGAUUCAUUUAUGGCUCCCUUUAUUGACUUGCUGAUAGCAUUAAAGCACAGCUAUGGUUGUAAAGCAUUCCUAAGAAUGCCGCCUGUCUUCAUGCAUCGCGAGUUUCUGCUCCCACUGAAAGCCAAGCUUUCCAAGCUGGCCAACUUAUACCACACUAGACACUACUGUGCUAGAUUAAUCCAUCUGCUUGGACCCAAAUAUCCAUUUUUGGAGAAUAAUGAGCCUCUCUACUCCUCCCAUUUUUGGUAGGAAGCUUUUAUGAACAUUUGGCAUCUCAGUGAAACCAUCAUCAUAGCCCAGAAUAAAAAUUACUGGUUUCAUAUGUGGAAUCCAAAUUUAAUUAAGCCUAUAUAUGGCCUGAACAAAGAAUAAUUUACUGGCUGACACCCCCUCAGCAUGUAUGAUAAGAUGCCAACUGCUCCUCCAUGACACCGUCACUUAGAUAUGUUUCAUGCCCAAUUCCAAAGUUUUUUCAGGCCUGCUGCUGAAACAUGGGAUCAAGAGAGGACUGACAAUGUUACCUGUUUCCAGUACAAAGAGAGCAAGAAUCACAGUUGUUUAUGAGUAUCUCUCCUUCAGAAGUUGUCCCCCUCCCCUUCCCAGUCUUCUGUUUGGAAUUAUCGUUUUCCCAGUUUAUGUGUGCACAUGUACAAGUGCAUGUAGAGAACUGUGACAUUGAAGUUUAUGUUCUGAUUGUGUUUGCCAAAAGUCUUCUUCACCUGGGAGUUAAUAAAAUCCAUGCACAGAUUUUGUUUCUUGCUUAAACUGUAGGGGUUUUCUCCUAUCUCUCCCCCUUUCUGCCUGGAGAGUGGAACAAAAGUUAAGUGAAUGGGAAGAGACAGGAAACUUCCUAAAAUGCUCUUCUCCUAAACCUCCCCUGGCAAGCAGAGCUGUAACUUCCUUUCAGAUGCAUCCUUUCAACACACCAGAAAACUACAGAUCAAAACAAAGGGUAAGGCA
Molecule: non-coding RNA, 6316 nt
Organism: Taeniopygia guttata (zebra finch)
Lineage: Eukaryota; Metazoa; Chordata; Aves; Passeriformes; Estrildidae
Source: RefSeq, a predicted model, not a curated record